UCCUUCUUGUAAAAGCAUGUGCUAACAUUACAGAAACUGGGGCACUGUCUUGGUUUUUGUACUAAUGCUAGCAGCGCACACACAGGAAGAAGAGUGAGUCUGCAUUCGAUCUGGAAAGACUGGGGUGGACCUCUUCUUCAUGUGCAGUGCCCUUUGUCUUAAGAUUUGGUGUGCUAAAU
Molecule: small nucleolar RNA, 179 nt
Organism: Echinops telfairi (small Madagascar hedgehog)
Lineage: Eukaryota; Metazoa; Chordata; Mammalia; Afrosoricida; Tenrecidae
Product: small nucleolar RNA SNORA81
Exons: 1
Source: RefSeq, a predicted model, not a curated record